This is a non-coding RNA of Stereum hirsutum FP-91666 SS1, 107 nucleotides long. The record is from the annotation of a RefSeq genome assembly. Lineage: Eukaryota; Fungi; Basidiomycota; Agaricomycetes; Russulales; Stereaceae.
UCGGAUAUGGUGUAACGGCUAACAUUGCCGCCUCUCACAAUCGGGACUCCUAGCUUUACUGUGUACAAACAUCACGGCAGCUCGGGGUUCGAUUCCCCGUAUCCGAA